GGGGUUGACUGGUUUCGACAGCAAGACUAAUGGGUAAGUAAGCAUGCAGAGAACCGUAGCGCGAUCUCUAUAAUCCCUUGCUACAAAAUUUUAACUGGCAACGAAGAGUUCGCUCUUGCAGCUUAAUAUCGAAGUAUAGUAGAUUCAAGCGUUUUCCCGAAGAUUUCAGUAGGGAAGCAAGAUAUUCCACAAAUGCUCUGUUCUGCGGCGUUUGAUCCUGGGAUAUAGGAAUGCGGAAAUAAGGUUGUAGAAGCUUCGGCUAUAACACGAAAACUUUAGAAGAUAAGCUGGAAGUUGGGUGUCUGCUCUCUGCUUCCCGUCGAAAAUUAAUAGUAGAAUAAGCAUGUAGAAAGCUUAUGUAUUGCUUGUUUGGACGAGGGUUCGAAUCCCUCCAACUCCACAG
Chryseobacterium indologenes NBRC 14944 is the source of this 403-nucleotide non-coding RNA. Lineage: Bacteria; Pseudomonadati; Bacteroidota; Flavobacteriia; Flavobacteriales; Weeksellaceae. The record is from Rfam.